Molecule: ribosomal RNA, 253 nt
Filed under: uncultured bacterium
Lineage: Bacteria
Description: partial 16S ribosomal RNA
Rfam family: Bacterial small subunit ribosomal RNA
Source: RNAcentral
UACAGAGGCCCCAAGCGUUACUGAGAAUCACUGGGUUUAAAGGGUGCGUAGGUGGCGCGUUAAGUCCGUUGUGAAAGCCCUGGGCUCAACCCAGGAACUGCUUCGGAUACUGGCGCGCUUGAGGCUAGUAGGGGUCACUGGAACUGACGGUGGGGCGGUGAAAUGCGUAGAUAUCGUCAGGAACGCCAAUGGUGAAGACAGGUGACUGGGCUAGUUCUGACACUGAGGCACGAAAGCGUGGGGAGCGAACGGG